AGAGUUUGAUUCUGGCUCAGGAUGAACGCUGGCGGCGUGCCUAACACAUGCAAGUCGAGCGGAGAGGUUGCGGAGAUUCAAUCGAUGAUCUGCUUCUUCUUAGCGGCGGAUGGGUGAGUAACACGUGGGUAACCUGCCCUGCACUGGGGAAUAACAGUUGGAAACGACUGUUAAUACCGCAUAUGCGCACGGGGUCGCAUGACCCCGGGCGGAAAGAUUUAUCGGUGCAGGAUGGGCCCGCGUCGGAUUAACUGGUUGGUGAGGUAAUGGCCCACCAAGGUGAUGAUCCGUAGCCGACCUGAGAGGGUGACCGGCCACAUUGGGACUGAGACACGGCCCAAACUCCUACGGGAGGCAGCAGUGGGGGAUAUUGCACAAUGGGCGCAAGCCUGAAUGCAGCGACGCCGCGUGAAGGAAGACGUAUUUCGGUAUGUAAACUUCUAUCAGCGGGGAAGAAGAUGACGGUACCCGACUAAGAAGCCCCGGCUAAUUACGUGCCAGCCGCUGC
Molecule: ribosomal RNA, 508 nt
Filed under: uncultured bacterium
Lineage: Bacteria
Description: bacterial SSU rRNA
Rfam family: Bacterial small subunit ribosomal RNA
Source: RNAcentral